Molecule: long non-coding RNA, 6320 nt
Filed under: Gallus gallus (chicken)
Lineage: Eukaryota; Metazoa; Chordata; Aves; Galliformes; Phasianidae
Description: lncRNA (ENSGALG00010010233.1)
Source: RNAcentral
GUUUAGCAGCAGUGUCGAUCGUUCUGUGCCACAGUCCAACAGGACUGAGAUACCAAUGGUUAAACUAGCGAUAGAACAUACUGCUAUUGCUAAAUAGAAAUAACCAAGCACCUGCACUUUGGAGCAGGACUUGGGCUGGUCCUAGGACUUGGACUAGGAGAGGCUGGUGAAAGAAAGUUGUUUCUUCACUCAGCUGAUUCUGCUUACUGCUGAGGGUAACUUUACAGGAAGAGUGCUCUGCCUGGGCUCCUUUACCGUGGCUAUUUAAUGGCUGAAAAACUGAAAAAAGAACUAUGUUUUCUUCACAAGCUGCGACCUUCCUAAAGUAAUCAUCUAGCACAAGUUUGCCUCCUGGACUAUUCCAGAAAUUGAUCUUCCAGUAACUGAGAGAACUCAAAAAUACCCAAUGCUGAUGUGGCUUCAGUAGUCAUUGUGGUCUCUUCCUCAGAAGAAAGUCUGAAAAUAGGGGUCCCCACAGGGUUUUGUUCUGUAGUUUACAGAGGCUAUAAAUAUAUUAAUCAACCCUAAUGAUUCUCCAGAAUAUAUUCACUUCAAUACUAAUGGCUAGAUUGCCCCAUAAUGAAGAGAGAUUUUAUGAUAUUUUUGUCUAGUUCUAUUGCACUUUUAGUGGCUGGAGAGAUUCCAUUUAAGUUAAUCUCGUGUCUCUCCUUCAGGAAGCAAGGUCAUGUCCAGUAUCAGUUAAAUAUAUGGCACUACGCCUAUCAAGACUUUUGGAUCUUGCAGUUCCAGGGGCAGAUUUCAACACACGCAGUCCUUUACUAAUAUUAAAUAGCAAAAUUGCCUUAAGGAUCAUUAAAACCGUUGUGAUUUUUUUGUGCAUCUGCUGUUUGUCUCUCAGUGGAAUCUGACCUCUCCUUGCUUUGUGUGCCUUGAAGGGUAAGACUUCUUUGAUGUUCUCUCUCUGUAUUCACUCUUCAGUGCAGUCCCUACUGCUCCUGGAACAGCUGUUCCUCUGCUGCUCAAUCUCAGUUCUUUGGCUUCUUUCACCCUGUCUGUAAACAUGGCUGUAUGUUCCAAAUAAGCUUUCCAACACUCAUUCUCUGCUAGCAUUUAUCAGACCUUAUUAGUUAGUGUUAGUAUUUCCAAGUCCAGUUUGCCAAUGGUCUUUCCUAGCCAAGUGGGCUUCUUUCUAUUCACAUCCUCCUUAAAGCUGCUUUAGGACCACUGGCACUUCACAUCUCCACCGUAUCCUUCAGUGAGCCUGCAUUCCUGCUUUCUGCUUUUACCUCCUGAACCUCCUUGUUCCCUUCAGCACCUCCUCUGGCAGAUCCUCCCACUCCCUCUCCACUGUCUGUUGGCACCCUUCAGAUUUUCACCCUCGGUCCUCCUCCCUUCAUCUUUGUAGUACCUAUUUUGGCUAACUCGUCCUCCCCAUCAGUUUCUGUUACUUAUAACUCUUUUCCUCCUGUUGUGAAUUUGUUGCUUCUUUGAUAUUGCACUGCCAUCCUAAACUCUCUUUUGAUGGGGCUUUCUUAGCUAUCUCAAGUACGCUCUUUUCUCCCGCUUUAAGUUAUUGUACCAUCUUCUUGUCUUGCAGCUCUAAUGUCAGUGUUGAUUUCUCAUUCUCUCCUUAUGUCUCUAUCUACACAGUUAUUAAAUCAGAUUUUAUUCCAUAUGACAUUAGCUAGUCUAUCCGUGGCAGUUUGUCUUCAUUGCUUCAGUACUUGUCCAUUUUUGCUCUCAUUUCCAAGCAUCUUUUUGCUAUUUUCUAAAACAAAUUAGCUAUGCAUAUGUUCACUCUUUUCUAACCAUAUCUCCCUUUAAUCCAAAUCAUUUCACCUGCUUCCUCAGUCUUACUACAUAAUCCCUUUUAAUGCUUUGGAUAACCUCUCUCCCCGAACCUCUUUGAAUUUACCUACAACCUUUUUUUUUUUUUUUUUUUUUUCCCUGCCAAGGUCCUCAUUUCAUUGUCAUUUUUUUACAGGCUUCCUGCAGUCUAGAGAGGAGGUAAUUCACUUCAUUUUGGCUUUUUAUCCUAUUUCUGUCAUUAGCAAACUAAUUAAUGAUACCUAACACCAGCAUGUGUGCUGGAGAGACUACAGUAAUGAGGUGAGACUUCCAAAAUGAACUUAUGUCCCUCCAAUUCAACACUGAUUUGUCGUUCUCUGGAAGUCUCGUAUCGGUGUUCAUAAUCUGUGAUUGGCAUCCUUUUGUGUCAGCAGCCCAGCAAGGUGGAGAGCAAAAAGGAGAAAGGGAAAGAACUUUUCUGCAUUUCCUAAGAGUGGAUUGAGUUAGAUGAAGGAAUACUCUCAUCCUAUUAUGAAAAAAAUCAAGCACUCCCCUGCAGGAGACAGCUGGGAACACUAAAAUAGUGCAAUGGGAACAUGUAGACAGCAUUUUAGCCCUGAAAUAAGCAGUGUGGCAAGUGUUGUCUUUGUCUUUUUAUGUACUGUUUUAUAGGACUGUCCUUCAUUUUGUCUUACAGCAGUAAUGUUUGUGGCACUUCAACAAAAACGGCUUUUGCAGUUAUUAAAAUGCUGAGGUGUUUACUCUCAAAUUCUUUGUUGCAGCGAUUUGUUUCUCUUGGGCACCAAUCUUUACAGAGAGCGAAAGGGGCAGAACAACCUGUAGCACUGUCUGUCUCAGGAUCUUGGAGGUGCACUCUCAGAGUCACCGGCUUGCCAGAACUCUCCUGGAUUUACACACAGAAAUGCGGAGACAGAGAAAUGAAAACGAACUGUCAGCUGCUUCUGAAUCCAGAGCGCUGAAUGUUGCCGUGAGCCCAAAAUAACAAACUGUGUUUCAAGGCACAGACCCUGAAGACGAAGCACGCAUUCCUGAAAUGGUUCUGACAGCGGCGUUACGGAUAAGCUGCACGAGCUUCUUGAUCCGAUCCGGUAGCAGAACACAUGGCAUUGUUUGGAAAUCACAGACGUGUUCUAGAGAGGGUGGAGGGAAAAGAGAUGUCUGUAUCAGAGUUGGCAGUUGCACUUGUCUUUGUGGGAGAACAGGUUGCCUACAGAAUAGUGCACUUUCAAAUGGUGCAUUCAUUGAGGUCUCUGUCUUUACUGGAUGGAUGUGUAGAUGUCAGCACAGCAGAUUGGUCUCAUGGCACUGUGGUCGCUUACAUUCAUCGUUACAGCAUUUGGGGGCUGCAGCUGCCGAUACGCACAGGGUGACCUUCCUGUUUCCGAAUGCUAUUAAGUCCUAAUGGCAGGAGACCUCUGCAUCCUGAGGGAAGGAUUUAAACCACCGAAACUGCGCCGGCUGGCAGAACAGAAUUUACCAGCCCUUGGAGGAAGGCUAGAUGGAAUCUGAACAACCUCUGGGUCAGCCUGUGGCAGCAGAGGAUCCCUCCUCCCAUGGAAGAGGUGUUCGUACCGCUCAGGUGCCGCAGUGCUGCGCCGGCAGUCCCACCACAGCCCCCAGCAGAGGCACCUGGCAGGGCUGCCUCCAGCCCAGCUCAACAACACGAGCUGAACGAGCCCAAGUGCUUUCUGAAAGCACAGCUGUGCCCAGAUCGGGGCAGUUCCUGGCAUCACUAGGUGCGAUUUUUCCAUGCUCAUAGCCAGCAUAGUUACGCCUCUGAAACUUUGUAGUAGAGACCUGGCUGGAAUCCUUCAGAUCCUCGCUCUCAGCCUUGGCAAAGCAAGCCCUCUAACUCUGUUGGAGCCAAGGCAGCUCAGCUCUUCCCAUUUAACAGUCCAGACCUUGUUCUUUCAGUGACCAGAAAAGUUGUUCCUGCGGGAAUGGCUUAUCUCUCUGUUCACUGCUUCAUAUCCUGCCUAAAACACUACUAUGGGAUGUAUGGCUGCUCUACUGGAUGCCAAUAUCCAUCCUGUGCUUUUGGAAAGGCAAUUCAAAUUCUGUGCACAGGCUUCUGGCAUGCUGAAAGCUUUUGGUUGCCUGUGUCCAAAGGGCUUACUUGUACAUGUGUGCAGUGCUGGGUUAGCUGGCAGAAAAUAUCACAUUUCCAAACCCUCUGCAAGGAAUCAGUGCUGAAGUUCUGCCUCCCUGAUCUUGUAUUGAUGUUUCCUUUGCUAAUGGCAUGUUAGAACACAAGUUUUAUUUACCCAGGAUAAUAUUUCAUUUUGUCCAUGUGCUGAGGUGAUAAAGUACUUAAAUACAUUGGAUGAUCUUUUCCUAAUGCCAUUUGGUGUGUUUAUGUUGUGUUGCCAUUUUUUAGAGAUAAAAAGAGGCUGAAAGAGCACCAGAGCAUGGAAGAGAUACUUAUGAGUGUUGGGCCAUCAUCAGAGGAAAAAAGAGAGACAAAUAUGAAAAAGAAUGAGUGCUGUGUUUAGUACUUUCUUCUCAUCCUUCACACGGGCAUUUCUGGAAGAGUUCUGGUGUGAUACAGUGUGGUUAAGAUAAGCAGUGGCUGCAAAAGUGCAUAAAAAGUUAGAGAUGACCGACUGCGAUUUUUGCCCAGCCACCUCACAGUGGUGCUUCUCUUAGUGGUCCCUCAUUCAUUUGGACAAAGUAUCUUAGCACGAUAGGAUGUGAAACUUGGCCAUGAGGGGAGGUACACAGAUAAUUUGCUGGUUCUUUCAGCACUUGGAGAAGUUGAUUAUCAUCUGAGAAAGAUUCUCAAAUAUUGUUGAGUGCUGGUUCAAAUGCGACAUAUAAAUGAAGUGAGUUGGGGCUGUCUGCUGAUAUCCUCUAAAGCUACACAGCAGUGCUUCUACAAGAAGUAAGUGCCAGGCAAAGAAACCUGACUUACACAAGUGCAACGUUAUGGACGUGAAAACAAUCAAUGUCCAGAAUGAAAGGAGGCCAGAGAAAUAGUGGGACUCCCAUCACCCCUGUUCUAUUUUAAGGAAUGGUUGCUAGAUAAUGCCAUUCAUGGAGAGUGAAGAUGAAUGUUCUCCCAGUGAUACUUUACAAUAUUUUCAGUGGUAUAUUUGCUCAGCUUUGUAAAAUCCUGAUACAAGGGAACAAGUAAUAUGCAUCAAGUUUAUCGAAGCUCAUUAAUUUGAUGAAAUAUAUUGGAAGGAUUGAUUUAUUCACAAUAUUAAACAGCUACUUACGUGAAACUCUGCUUUCUGACUGGUAACGUGAGAACACACAUUGGUUGCUUGCUAUUUUGUUAAUACUUUCACAAAACCACAUCAGCCUCUUUGUUUUUCUGCUGUUUCUCACAGUUCAGCAGACAGCAACAUGCACUUAACAAAAAUAGAGAGGCUUAGAGACAUGUGCAAGAGACAGCUUCAGAAAAACUCUCAAGACAUGCUAAUCAUCUCUAAGAAGAAAAUAUGUUAUUGGCCUAGUAACCAAGGAACAGACAAAGCUUCCAGGAGAUAUGCAGACUUUAAAACAAUCUGCAGUAUAAUUCCACAUAAAUGGCACCAAAACAAUCUCCAAGGGAGUUGCUGCAUCAUUUUGUCACAGCUCAGCACAACACUUGGUCACUAAAUGAUGCAGCUCUUUGAUAUCUCAUUCCCAUUUUGGUUUGCUUAGGCAAAUCCAGAUGAUCUCUGCCCUGUGCAUCAGUGGAUGCUACAAUCAUUAUGGCUGUGCUCAGGCCCCCAUUCCACAGGAAGAACCACUGGAAUUGUUUACUAUGGAGAAAAGGAGGCUGAAGGGAGACCUUAUUGCUCUCUUCCAGUACCUGAAAGGUGAUUGCAGUGGGAGCAGGGCUGGUCUCUUCUCACUGGUGACAGGACGAGGGGAAAUGGCCCCAAGUUGCACCAGGGGAGGUUUAGGUUGGAUAUCAGGAAAAACUUCUCUACUGAAAGGGCUGUUAAGCACAGGAAUAGGCUCCCCAGGGAGGUGGUUGAGUCACCAUCCCUGAAUGUGUUUAAAAACCAUCUGGAUGUGGUGCUCAGAGAUAUGAUUUAGUGGAGGGUUGUUAGAGUUAGGGUAGCAUGAUUAGGCUGUGGUUGGACUUGAUGAUCUUUAAGGUCUUUUCCAACCUGAGCAAUUCUACGGUUCUAUGAUUCUAUGAUUCCUGCUCUGGUCUUGGCCAGCACAGAUCACUAACUCCAACCCCUGGCACCUGCACCAUCCCACCAUUCCUUCUGCAGAUGUGAAAUUCAGCAUGAGCAAAACUCACCCAGGUCUAGGUCAUAACAAGCCCUAGGUUAGAAAAACGUGGUGUUGUCAAUUUUAGUUGGUGUUUUGACUAAAUAUGCAAGGAUUAAUGGUACAAGUGGUUAUUCCAGCAUAUCUGAGAGGCCGUAUCCUCUGGAAAGGUGAACAAACAGCAUGACAGUGGCGGUGGGCUGCCUGGCAUGGGGUGGGUUCUUGUUCAAAUAGCGUCCUCCUCUCACCAAGCAAUAUCUGCCCGUGGUCUAAUAUUGAGUUAAACUGUUCUUACCUUAAAUAAAUGAAAGAUGUCUUAGUGCUUCAUUAUUGCAUAU